GGAACUUCCAUAUGUGCUGUGGGUGCGGCCCUAGAAAGACAAAAAAAUUUUUUUAAUAAAAACAAAAUUUAAAAAUUCUCACUUUAUAUGUAUGUAGCUUUUCGACCAGAAAAUAAAUGUAUGUGGUUCAAAACUUUUAAACUAGUUACUUUUCACCUUUUUUUUGGUUGAGCCUAAAGACUGAACUUGCCUGGUAUGUCAUAAAGAAUUUAAUCUUGCCCCUAAAGAGGUCUGGUCUUUUGCCUUUGGAUCCCUGGAAAUAAUCCUAAAUUGCUGGAAUGUCCUGCUUCAUAAAAGCCUUUGUUUACUGGAGGAGCUUGAGCUGUGCUAGACAGCCUAACAAUGUGAUCUUCGGCUGGGACUUUAGGUCACACAGUAUUAACUCAACCUGAGGAAGAGCUGGAGACAGGCUGGCUACAUAGGCGGUCAACCAUACCUGUGGGAUGAUAGAGUCCCAAUAAAAUCUCUGGACACCACGGCGUGGGUGAGCUUCUUGGAUUGGCAAUGGUCCAUGUGUAUUACCACGCAUCACUGCCAGGAAGAGUUAAUGCUGCCCAUAACUCCCCUGGAAGAGGACAAUCAGAAGCUCAACAUUGGAAACCUCCCAGACUCCCUCCCACGUGUCUCUUCCAUUGUUUUUUUUGUUUUGUUUUUUUUCUUUUCUUUUUUUUCCCCCCGCUUUUUAUGGCUGCACCUGCAGCAUAUGAACUUCCCAGGCUACGGGGGCAAAUUGGAGCUGCAGCUGCCAGCCUACGCCACAGUCACAGCAACACAGGAUCCAAGCUGUAUCUUUGACCAACACCACAGCUCACUGCAACUCUGGAUCGUUAACCCACUGAGCAAGGGAGAUACCAGUUUCUCAGACAGUGGCACUGACCAAAAGCAGCCACAGAAGGCCAAAAAGCUUGUUCUGGUUCAAAAUACAAAAGCAUUUCAUCAUUAUUCCAAGAAUGAGAGCCAAAUCUAUACCAUUACUUUUUUAAAAAAAGUAUGAGCAACUAUAUUCAAUAUCCUGUAAUAAACCAUAAUGAAAAAGGAUAUGAAAAAGAAACCGAAUAACUUUACACUAGAAACUAACACAACAUUGUAAAAUCAAGUAUACUUCCCACCCCCACCCCACCCCCCAAAAAAGUAUGAGCAAGUUCAGGGAUGGCGAACAGGACAGUGGGAACAAACAAUGUUUCUCUUCUGCCCAAGUGACUGAUGGCUACUCACUUUCUGCCUACAGUGAUAUGAAAGGGGAAAAUAUUUUAAAAGGCAAAGAAUAUGCAGGUAGUAGUGUGCCCACACAUUAAAGAAAAAAAAAGGAUGCAUGAAAAAACACAAGAUGGAGACAAAAGAGAAACAUCAGUUGUGGUAUGAUGGAAAAUAGAAAAGAGAAGAAAUAAAUUGCCUCACUCUUAGAUCCUGCUAUCCUUCUUCCAAGCCUACAAUCUGUAAGAGGUGGGAGAAUAGGAAAUGAGAAGAAAUACUCUCAAACAAAAUUAAUUAAUUCCCUACAACUCAUACCCUAAGACUAGAGAAUUUCAAAGUGCCCCCAAGUAUCUGGGUCAUAUUUAUAGCUAAACUGAAUCUUGAUUUAAUGCUGUGCUUUUCAAAGGGAUUCCUCCCUCAUCUCUCCUAAAAAUACAACUAUAAAAACAUAAGCUUCACCACAAAAAUCAGCAUAACAAUUUCUAUCUCUGAGCAGAGAUUAAGAGAAGAACACUGCAUAGCUUCUAUCUUUCUCACUGCUGCCAAAACAAAAUAACAAUAAUCUAAAAAUCUAAAUUAUUUUACAAUGUUUCACAGAUUGUGGACUGUUUCUACACUGCCUUGCAGCCUUCCAAGGAUGGACCAGUGGGAUUUAACAUGAACCAAAUCUGUCAACCAAGUUGAAGACAGACACGUGGGUUCUAAUGAGCAAUGGUGAAAAAACGCUGCUCCAUUCAGCUCCAAACAAUGAUAAAUAAUUCAGGAAAAGAACUGCCGCAAUACAGAGCACAGCAGCAAGAUUUAAAAAUAGACCUUAGCGCCUAGGUGGAGGAAUCAGGAGUCAGAGAAAAAGGAUUUAUGUCAACAAAUUCCCAAGCCCUUUAAAUUUAGGAUGCUGCUGAAACUGUCACUCAAAACAGAUGCCAGAAUUUCAAUGCACUUUUUCAAAAAAAAAAAAAACAAAAACAAAACAAGUAUUUUUCAGGAACUUGGCAAAUUUGGUAACAAAAGAGCUAAUAAACAACAGUAUUAUAUAGCAAUAGUAGGUAGUAUAAAAAAAGCAAAUGCAAAUGACAUAGAAAAGAUACGUUUUUAAGAAAAAAAUUAAAAGGGGGUUUAAAAUCCACUAUUUUUCAUACCACUACAUUCUAGGUCUAAUAUCAAUUUAAACUUAUUGACUAUGCUCUAGAAUUGAGGGUACAUAGCACUCAAGAUCUUUCUAUGAAGUUUUCUACCUCUAACAGAUCUAAUCUAUAUAACACGCAAAACAAAGAUCCUCACCUGUUAAUAAAAAGGGUAUCUUGAAAACUGAACAGAAGUCAUGAUUAUGUUCUUACCAUAUUUAAAGUCCAAGUCUGAUAAAUCUGACAAACUUAUAAUUAGAUGAGGAGAGUCCAAGAUGAUGGGUUCAUGUGGAUUGUGCAGGUUUGAACCUACUCAAGAAUGCUUCAAGUAUAGGGUAUGAUGAAUACUGUGGCUGAACAGUCAUUCUUAAGACUGGUGUCCUGAAGACUAUAAGAAUGAUCAGAAUCCAGAUGUAUUCUAUGAACUCAACAAUGUGUAUGAUGAAAAAAUAACAUUUUACAUCCAAACUACACUUCCCCACAGCCCCAAAAUAUACACCGCACUCCUUUUCCUAAUUCUGAGAUCAAUUUCAGACAACUGAAAAUUUUAAGAUUACAUAAUGAUGUCUAAUCUACUUUUAAUGUAUGGUAUAAAAUACAACAGUAAACCAUCACUCCCUUUCUCUGUAAAUCUUACUGUUGACAAAGGACAGUAUGAUCAAAUGCACCUAGGUUUGAGCCUUGGUGCCAGCACCACUGUUGGCUGUGGUGAAGAAACCCUAUUCUGGGUCUUGCAUUUUUUAGACAGAUCCACUCUGAUCCGCUUCUGACCUGUCUACUCUCAGGACAAGAUGGGACCAAGGCACCAUACCUACCUGAAGCCCCUGACUCUACUGCUCACAACUAUAUGCUCUGGAUCCUAGAAUUCCCCGCCCUAACAGUCCCAAGCCCACUUCCAGGGCCUUCAGUGCAUCUCUUCUCAAACUCUGUCCUCCCAUAGAUAAUACUCAUUUUUGCCGGGGUGGUGUUGGCUACACCUGCAGCAUGUGAAAUUCCCAGGCCAGGGAUUGACCCAGCACCACAGCAGCGACCUGAGCUGCUGCAGUGACAACACCUGUUCCUUAACCUGAUAUGCCACAAGGGAACUCCAGACAAUACUCAUUGUUGACACAUUCCAUGGUCUGAAUGGUGGGGCAAGGGAUAGAUGAUGAGAGGGAUGCAGAUGGAGAUCAGACCUAGAGGAUAUCUCUGCACUAUUCCAUCCUGUCUCAGAACUUUGAGGAGUCCAAGAAUUCUGGCCUUCUAGGUCAUUAUAAAAACAUAUCUAAGUAGGAGGAAAACAUUUUUUCUAACUUUUUUUAAAAAUCCUGACUUAUAACUUAAAUGUAUAGACAUAUGGAAUAUGUGCUUCCAUUCAUGUUCUUAAAAUUGUUAGGAGCAGGCCUACCUAGCCAUAUCACACAACAGCUAUGUGAUCUCAGAGUAGUUACCACUUCUGUAAGCCUCACUUUACUGACUUGUAAAAUAAGCAAGUGAAAAUGUCCUUCAGGGACAGAGCCUCCCUGUCGUGGCUCAGCGGUAAUGAACCCAACUGGAUCCAUGAGGAUGUGGGUUUGACCCCUGGCCUCACUCAGUGAGUCGGGGAUCCAGCGUUGCCGUGAGCUGUGGUGUAGGUUGCAGAUGCUGCUCGGAUCUGGCACUGCUGUGACUGUGGCAUAGGCUGGCAGCUAUGGCUCCAAUUUGACCCCUAGCCUGGUAACCUCCAUAUGUUGUGGGUGUGGCCCUAAAAAAAAUGUCCUUCAGAAGAUUUUAAUGCAAUUAAAUAAUUUUCAAAAUUAUCCUGCAGGGUGCCUAGUGCAUAGCAAAUCUGUGACAAACUGAACCUGUUAAUUAUUAUAUGCUCUGCCAUCACUCUUCUUCCUAGCAUGGGCAAAAAAAGACCAAAAGGACAAAAAAAGUAGAGCCAACUUCAGCGAAACUACAACCAAAACACAGCCAUUUGUCCUCAGGAAACCAAAAAUAGAAUUACCAUAUGAUCCACCAAUCCCAAUCCUGGGCAUAUACCCAGACAAAGCAAUGAUUCAAAGGGAUACAUGCACCCCCAAUGUUCACAGCAGCACUAUUUACAAUAGCCAAGACAUGGAAACAACCUAAAUGUCAGCUGACAGAUGAACAGAUUAAGAAGAUGUGGUACAUACAUACAAUGGAACACUCAGCCAUAAAAAAAGAACAAAAUAAUGCCAUUCCCAACAACAUGGAUGCAACUAGAAAUUAUCAUACUAAAUGAAGUAAGUCAGAAAGAGAAGGACAGGCAUUCCCACUGUGGCUAAGUGGGUCAAGGACCCAGUGUUGUCUCUAUGAGGAUGCAGGUUCAAUCCCUGGCCUGGCUCAGUGGGUUACAGAUCUGGCAUUGCUGCAAGCUGCAGUGUAGGUCAAGGAUGCAACUUGGAUCUGGCGUUGCCAUGGUUGUGGCAUAAGCCCACAGCUGAAGCUCCAAAUUCAACCCCUGGCCUGGGAACUUCCAUAUGCCAUGUGGCCAUAAAAAGAGGGGGGAAAAAAAAGAAAUAGGACAAAUACCACAUGAUAUCACUUAUAUGUGGAAUCUAAAAUAUGGCACAAAACAGAACCAUACUCACAGAUUUAGAGAACAGACUUGUGGUUGCCAAGGAGGAGAGGGGAAGGAGAGAGAUACACUGGGAGUUUGAGGAUAGUAGAUAUAAAUUAUUACAUUUAGAAUGGAUAGACAAUGAGGUCCUACUGCAUAGCACAGGAAAUUAUAUCCAACCUCCUAGUAUAAACCAUAAUGGAAAGAAGCUUUUUUUAAAGAAUGUAUAUAUGUGUAUAACAAAGUCACUCUGCUUGUGUAGAAAUUAGCAUAACAGUGUAAAUCAACUAUAGUUUAAUUUAAAAAAACAGCCAUUUAUAGUUCUCAUUUUAAGGAAUUAUUUUUCUUAACAACCAUUUCUCCCACUAACAUAUAAGUGCCAUUUUUUUCUAACCACGCAAGGAGAUGAAUGUUAAAAAAAACUUACUGUGGCAAUCAUUUCUCAAUAUAUAUAUGUCAAGUCAUUGUGCGGUACACCUUAAACUUAUAUAGAGUGGUCUGUCAACUGUAUCUCAAACAAACUGGGAAAAAAAAGCUCUACAAGGGCAGGGAUUUUUCCUUUUCUUCACUGCUAUAUCCCUUAGUCUCAAGUUUCUGGCGAGACAAGUAUUUGUUAAUAAACCAUUAACUAGAACAAGCAAGUAUGGAGUGGUUAUCUGACAACCCAACAUCAAUCUCAUAUGGAAGCAAGCCUGGCAUAACCAGAAAAUGAAGUAUUUAUAUACAACUACUUCACUUAGCUGCUUCUUCUAAUUUCAGAAGUUUCCUUAAAAAUAAAAUUAAUGAAAACAUUAGAGUAUGUCUUUUUUUUUUUUUUUUU
This 5683-nucleotide long non-coding RNA is filed under the name Sus scrofa (pig). RNAcentral describes it as "lncRNA (ENSSSCG00015025753.1)". Lineage: Eukaryota; Metazoa; Chordata; Mammalia; Artiodactyla; Suidae. The record is from RNAcentral.